GACGACCCCUUCAACCAUCUUUCAUGGGCUACAUAAUGAUGUUCGCCAAGUGCCAUGUUUUCACUUCGAGCAUGGCCCAAUUUUAUUCUAGAAAGUAUGGUCCAUAAUGGUUUACAAGGACUUUCCCAUCUCCCUCCAAAAAAUGAGAGACAAAAUCUUUACUGAUUUGGGAAGCCUUUUUGACCCCUAUGAUCUUAACCC
This 201-nucleotide long non-coding RNA is filed under the name Lathyrus oleraceus (garden pea). RNAcentral describes it as "Pisum sativum (pea) long non-coding RNA (PSAT_LNC008048)". Lineage: Eukaryota; Viridiplantae; Streptophyta; Magnoliopsida; Fabales; Fabaceae. The record is from RNAcentral.